Molecule: ribosomal RNA, 24 nt
Filed under: Saccharum officinarum (sugarcane)
Lineage: Eukaryota; Viridiplantae; Streptophyta; Magnoliopsida; Poales; Poaceae
Source: RNAcentral
CAGAUGCGAUCAUACCAGCGCUAA